GACCAAUUAGCUCAGUUGCUUUGAGCGUCGUGCUAAUAAUAUGAAAGUUACAGAUUUAAAUCCUGCAUGAGUCA
Molecule: non-coding RNA, 74 nt
Organism: Glycine max (soybean)
Lineage: Eukaryota; Viridiplantae; Streptophyta; Magnoliopsida; Fabales; Fabaceae
Source: Rfam